RNAcentral lists this unclassified non-coding RNA (328 nucleotides) under soil metagenome. RNAcentral's name for it is "partial contains 5.8S ribosomal RNA, internal transcribed spacer 2, and large subunit ribosomal RNA". The stretch from base 1 to 120 matches the Rfam family "5.8S ribosomal RNA", at positions 35 to 154 of the family's 154-position model. The record is from RNAcentral.
GAUGAAGAACGCAGCGAAAUGCGAUAAGUAAUGUGAAUUGCAGAAUUCAGUGAAUCAUCGAAUCUUUGAACGCACAUUGCGCCCCCUGGUAUUCCGGGGGGCAUGCCUGUUCGAGCGUCAUUUCAACCCUCAAGCUCUGCUUGGUAUUGAAUCCAUGUCAGCAAUGGCAGGCUCCAAAAUCAGUGGCGGCGCCGCUGGGUCCUGAACGUAGUAAUAUCUCUCGUUACAGGUGCUCGGCGUGCUUCUGCCAAAACCCCAAUUUUUCUAUGGUUGACCUCGGAUCAGGUAGGGAUACCCGCUGAACUUAAGCAUAUCAAUAAGCGGAGGA